UACGUAGGUGGCAAGCGUUGUCCGGAAUUAUUGGGCGUAAAGCGCGCGCAGGCGGUCCUUUAAGUCUGGUGUGAAAGCCCACGGCUCAACCGUGGAGGGUCAUUGGAAACUGGGGGACUUGAGUACAGAAGAGAAGAGUGGAAUUCCACGUGUAGCGGUGAAAUGCGUAGAGAUGUGGAGGAACACCAGUGGCGAAGGCGACUCUUUGGUCUGUAACUGACGCUGAGGCGCGAAAGCGUGGGGAGCAAACAGG
RNAcentral lists this ribosomal RNA (253 nucleotides) under uncultured bacterium. Its description in RNAcentral is "partial 16S ribosomal RNA". It matches the Rfam family "Bacterial small subunit ribosomal RNA", at positions 524 to 776 of the family's 1533-position model. The record is from RNAcentral.